Molecule: transfer RNA, 77 nt
Filed under: Candidatus Brocadiia bacterium
Lineage: Bacteria; Pseudomonadati; Planctomycetota; Candidatus Brocadiia
Description: tRNA-Arg
Rfam family: tRNA
About the family: Transfer RNA (tRNA) molecules are approximately 80 nucleotides in length. Their secondary structure includes four short double-helical elements and three loops (D, anti-codon, and T loops).
Source: RNAcentral
GCGGCGGUAGCUCAGUGGAUAGAGCAUCGGAACUUCUAAUCCGACGGUCGAGGGUUCGAAUCCUUCCCGCCGCGCCA